Molecule: small RNA, 117 nt
Filed under: Macaca fascicularis (crab-eating macaque)
Lineage: Eukaryota; Metazoa; Chordata; Mammalia; Primates; Cercopithecidae
Description: Metazoan signal recognition particle RNA (ENSMFAG00000048525.1)
Source: Rfam by way of RNAcentral
GCCGGGCGUGGUGGUUCACACCUAUAAUCUCAGCACUCUGGGAGGCUGAGACAGGAGGAUCACUUGAGCCCAGGAGUCCAAGACCAGCCUGGGCAACAUAGUGAGACCCUGUCUCUU